AUUGCUUCUUAGCCUUUUGGCUAUGAUCAAGUGCAGUAUCUGGUCUUAUCAGUUUAAAAGAAAAUAUAGACAAGAUCGAUCUGAGUGGCUCAGUUGGUAAUGUGUCUGCCUUUGGCUCAGGUAAUGGUCUCAGGGUCCUGGGAUGGAGCCCCACAUUGGGCUCCCUGCUCAGCGGGGAGUCUGCUUCUCCCUCUCCCUUUUGCCCCCCCA
RNAcentral lists this small nuclear RNA (210 nucleotides) under Mustela putorius furo (domestic ferret). RNAcentral describes it as "U2 spliceosomal RNA". It matches the Rfam family "U2 spliceosomal RNA". From Rfam's summary of the family: U2 is a small nuclear RNA (snRNA) component of the spliceosome (involved in pre-mRNA splicing). Lineage: Eukaryota; Metazoa; Chordata; Mammalia; Carnivora; Mustelidae. The record is from Rfam by way of RNAcentral.